Molecule: ribosomal RNA, 207 nt
Filed under: uncultured bacterium
Lineage: Bacteria
Description: partial 16S ribosomal RNA
Rfam family: Bacterial small subunit ribosomal RNA
Source: RNAcentral
CGCGCAGGCGGCCAGGUCAGUCGAAUGUGAAAGCCCCCGGCUCAACUGGGGAGGGUCAUUCGAUACUGCCUGGCUUGAAGAUAGGAGAGGGAAGCGGAAUUUCAGGUGUAGUGGUGAAACGCGUAGAUAUCUGAAGGAACACCAGUGGCGAAGGCGGCUUUCUGGCCUAUUCUUGACGCUGAGGCGCGAAAGCUAGGGGAGCGAACG